CGGGCCGUAGCGCAGCCUGGCUAGCGCGCUUGCUUGGGGUGCAAGAGGUCGCGAGUUCGAAUCUCGCCGGCCCGACCA
Molecule: transfer RNA, 78 nt
Filed under: Planctomycetales bacterium 12-60-4
Lineage: Bacteria; Pseudomonadati; Planctomycetota; Planctomycetia; Planctomycetales
Also listed under: 1 other name
Description: tRNA-Pro
Rfam family: tRNA
About the family: Transfer RNA (tRNA) molecules are approximately 80 nucleotides in length. Their secondary structure includes four short double-helical elements and three loops (D, anti-codon, and T loops). Further hydrogen bonds mediate the characteristic L-shaped molecular structure. tRNAs have two regions of fundamental functional importance: the anti-codon, which is responsible for specific mRNA codon recognition, and the 3' end, to which the tRNAs corresponding amino acid is attached (by aminoacyl-tRNA synthetases). tRNAs cope with the degeneracy of the genetic code in two manners: having more than one tRNA (with a specific anti-codon) for a particular amino acid; and 'wobble' base-pairing, i.e. permitting non-standard base-pairing at the 3rd anti-codon position.
Source: RNAcentral